AGUUUGAUCCUGGCUCAGGACGAACGCUGGCGGCGUGCCUAAUACAUGCAAGUAGAACGCUGAAGAGAGGAGCUUGCUCUUCUUGGAUGAGUUGCGAACGGGUGAGUAACGCGUAGGUAACCUGCCUUGUAGCGGGGGAUAACUAUUGGAAACGAUAGCUAAUACCGCAUAACAAUGGAUGACACAUGUCAUUUAUUUGAAAGGGGCAAUUGCUCCACUACAAGAUGGACCUGCGUUGUAUUAGCUAGUAGGUGAGGUAAUGGCUCACCUAGGCGACGAUACAUAGCCGACCUGAGAGGGUGAUCGGCCACACUGGGACUGAGACACGGCCCAGACUCCUACGGGAGGCAGCAGUAGGGAAUCUUCGGCAAUGGGGGCAACCCUGACCGAGCAACGCCGCGUGAGUGAAGAAGGUUUUCGGAUCGUAAAGCUCUGUUGUAAGUCAAGAACGGGUGUGAGAGUGGAAAGUUCACACUGUGACGGUAGCUUACCAGAAAGGGACGGCUAACUACGUGCCAGCAGCCGCGGUAAUACGUAGGUCCCGAGCGUUGUCCGGAUUUAUUGGGCGUAAAGCGAGCGCAGGCGGUUUGAUAAGUCUGAAGUUAAAGGCUGUGGCUCAACCAUAGUUCGCUUUGGAAACUGUCAAACUUGAGUGCAGAAGGGGAGAGUGGAAUUCCAUGUGUAGCGGUGAAAUGCGUAGAUAUAUGGAGGAACACCGGUGGCGAAAGCGGCUCUCUGGUCUGUAACUGACGCUGAGGCUCGAAAGCGUGGGGAGCGAACAGGAUUAGAUACCCUGGUAGUCCACGCCGUAAACGAUGAGUGCUAGGUGUUGGAUCCUUUCCGGGAUUCAGUGCCGCAGCUAACGCAUUAAGCACUCCGCCUGGGGAGUACGACCGCAAGGUUGAAACUCAAAGGAAUUGACGGGGGCCCGCACAAGCGGUGGAGCAUGUGGUUUAAUUCGAAGCAACGCGAAGAACCUUACCAGGUCUUGACAUCCCGAUGCUAUUUCUAGAGAUAGAAAGUUACUUCGGUACAUCGGUGACAGGUGGUGCAUGGUUGUCGUCAGCUCGUGUCGUGAGAUGUUGGGUUAAGUCCCGCAACGAGCGCAACCCCUAUUGUUAGUUGCCAUCAUUCAGUUGGGCACUCUAGCGAGACUGCCGGUAAUAAACCGGAGGAAGGUGGGGAUGACGUCAAAUCAUCAUGCCCCUUAUGACCUGGGCUACACACGUGCUACAAUGGUUGGUACAACGAGUUGCUAGUCGGUGACGGCGAGCUAAUCUCUUAAAGCCAAUCUCAGUUCGGAUUGUAGGCUGCAACUCGCCUACAUGAAGUCGGAAUCGCUAGUAAUCGCGGAUCAGCACGCCGCGGUGAAUACGUUCCCGGGCCUUAACUCACCGCCCGUCA
Molecule: ribosomal RNA, 1404 nt
Filed under: uncultured bacterium
Lineage: Bacteria
Description: bacterial SSU rRNA
Rfam family: Bacterial small subunit ribosomal RNA
Source: RNAcentral